RNAcentral lists this ribosomal RNA (327 nucleotides) under uncultured bacterium. RNAcentral's name for it is "bacterial SSU rRNA". It matches the Rfam family "Bacterial small subunit ribosomal RNA", at positions 30 to 355 of the family's 1533-position model. The record is from RNAcentral.
AUUGAACGCUGGCGGCAUGCUUUACACAUGCAAGUCGAACGGCAGCACGGGUGCUUGCACCUGGUGGCGAGUGGCGGACGGGUGAGUAAUACAUCGGAACGUGUCCAGAAGAGGGGGAUAACGCAUCGAAAGAUGUGCUAAUACCGCAUAUGCUCUGAGGAGGAAAGUAGGGGAUCGAAAGACCUUACGCUUUUGGAGCGGCCGAUGUCUGAUUAGCUAGUUGGUGGGGUAAGGGCCUACCAAGGCGACGAUCAGUAGUUGGUCUGAGAGGACGACCAGCCACACUGGGACUGAGACACGGCCCAGACUCCUACGGGAGGCAGCAGU